Molecule: ribosomal RNA, 253 nt
Filed under: uncultured bacterium
Lineage: Bacteria
Description: partial 16S ribosomal RNA
Rfam family: Bacterial small subunit ribosomal RNA
Source: RNAcentral
UACAGAAGCCCCAAGCGUUACCCGGAUUUAUUGGGCGUAAAGGGUGCGUAGGCGGUUAUGUUAGUCUUGGGUCAAAACCUGGGGCUCAACCCCAGGAUCGCAUAGGAAACGGCAUAACUAGAAGAAGUGAGAGGUGUGUGGAACUCACGGUGUAGGGGUGAAAUCCGGUGAUAUCGUGGGGAACACCAAAUGCGAAGGCAGCACACUGGCACUUUCUUGACGCUGAGGCACGAAAGCGUGGGUAGCGAACGGG